CCUACGGGUUGCAGCAGUGGGGAAUAUUGCACAAUGGGCGCAAGCCUGAUGCAGCCAUGCCGCGUGUAUGAAGAAGGCCUUCGGGUUGUAAAGUACUUUCAGCGGGGAGGAAGGCGAUAAGGUUAAUAACCUUGUCGAUUGACGUUACCCGCAGAAGAAGCACCAGCUAACUCCGUGCCAGCAGCCGCGGUAAUACGGAGGGUGCAAGCGUUAAUCGGAAUUACUGGGCGUAAAGCGCACGCAGGCGGUCUGUCAAGUCGGAUGUGAAAUCCCCGAGCUCAACCUGGGAACUGCAUUCGAAACUGGCAGGCUAGAGUCUCGUAGAGGGGGGUAGAAUUCCAGGUGUAGCGGUGAAAUGCGUAGAGAUCUGGAGGAAUACCGGUGGCGAAGGCGGCCCCCUAGACAAAGACUGACGCUCAGGUGCGAAAGCGUGGGGAGCAAACAGGAUUAGAUACCCCCGUAGUC
Molecule: ribosomal RNA, 465 nt
Filed under: uncultured bacterium
Lineage: Bacteria
Description: bacterial SSU rRNA
Rfam family: Bacterial small subunit ribosomal RNA
Source: RNAcentral